This 497-nucleotide ribosomal RNA is filed under the name uncultured bacterium. Its description in RNAcentral is "partial 16S ribosomal RNA". It matches the Rfam family "Bacterial small subunit ribosomal RNA", at positions 28 to 507 of the family's 1533-position model. The record is from RNAcentral.
GAUGAACGCUGGCGGCGUGCCUAAUACAUGCAAGUCGAGCGAACGGACGAGAAGCUUGCUUCUCUGAUGUUAGCGGCGGACGGGUGAGUAACACGUGGAUAACCUACCUAUAAGACUGGGAUAACUUCGGGAAACCGUAGCUAAUACCGGAUAAUAUUUUGAACCGCAUGGUUCAAAAGUGAAAGACGGUCUUGCUGUCACUUAUAGAUGGAUCCGCGCUGCAUUAGCUAGUUGGUAAGGUAACGGCUUACCAAGGCAACGAUGCAUAGCCGACCUGAGAGGGUGAUCGGCCACACUGGAACUGAGACACGGUCCAGACCCCUACGGGAGGCAGCAGUAGGGAAUCUUCCGCAAUGGGCGAAAGCCUGACGGAGCAACGCCGCGUGAGUGAUGAAGGUCUUCGGAUCGUAAAACUCUGUUAUUAGGGUAGAACAUAUGUGUAAGUAACUGUGCACAUCUUGACGGUACCUAAUCAGAAAGCCACGGCUAACUACGUG